Panicum virgatum (switchgrass) is the source of this 2990-nucleotide RNA transcript. It is a transcript of the gene named ruBisCO large subunit-binding protein subunit beta, chloroplastic-like, with no coding region annotated. NCBI's taxonomy places the organism in Eukaryota, Viridiplantae, Streptophyta, Magnoliopsida, Poales, Poaceae. The transcript is spliced from 12 exons. The record is from RefSeq and is a predicted model, not a curated record.
GGCGCCACGCUCUCAUGCUCCGGCUCGGAGUGGGUAGGGUAACCGAUAACCGAACGCUCAACCGAAAUACCCGACCUCUUAUCCGCUCAGCUACUGACCUCCGCUCCUCCAGCUCCAGGUUCCUCCAGCUCCGGGCGGCGCUUGUCGCCCCCGGCGGCAGCGCCUCCUCCUCCACUUGCCCGCUCCCCCGGCCCCGAUUCCUCCCGGCUGCAAGACUGUAGAUCGAUACAUCUAGCACCAGGUGCGGCCUCUGCUCGUCCUUUGCUGUGGCAAGGGUGGAGCAGCGGAAUCGAUCCCCGCAUCGCGGAAGAGCUCGCAGCCUCUUAUCCACUCCACCUCUGUCCAGUGACCGCCGCCGCCUUCUAGCUGGGUGGAAGAAACAUGUCAAGAAUGGCGCCUCCGUCCUCUCCCCUGUCCAUGAAGCCCCCGACGCUGCCCUUCUCCCCUCCCAAGAAGCCGGCGCCGAUGCCGGUGUACAAGGACCUGCACUUCAACCGCGACCUCUCCGCUACCAAGAAGCUCCAGGCCGGGGUGGACCUGGUGGCGCGGUUGGUGGGGGUCACCCUGGGGCCCAAUGGGAGGAACGUGGUGCUUGGCAACAAGUAUGGCCCUCCCAAGAUUGUCAACGAUGGGGAGACCGUCCUUAAGGAGAUCGAAUUGGAGGAUCCAUUAGAAAAUCUUGGAGUGAAGCUGGUCAGGCAGGCUGGUGCAAGGACCAAUGAUAUUGCAGGAGAUGGUUGUACCACUUCCAUAAUCCUUGCUCGAGGCCUGAUUGCUGAAGGAAUGAAGGUUCUUGCAGCAGGAAUCAACCCAGUUCAGGUUGCACGUGGUAUUGAGAAGACUGCUGCCGCUUUGGUGUCUGAACUCAGAGUAAUGUCACGGGAGAUUGAAGACCAUGAACUUGCACAUGUGGCUGCAGUUAGCGCAGGAAAUGAUUAUGCUGUUGGAAAUAUGAUUUCUGAUGCUUUUCAAAGAGUAGGUAGAAAAGGAAUGGUGAGAAUUGAAAAUGGAAGAGGCACCGAAAACAGUCUGGAUGUUGUUGAAGGAAUGCAAUUUGAACGUGGUUACCUCUCGCCCUACUUUGUUACUGAUCGUGCAAAUAUGACGGUGGAGUUCACAGACUGUAAGGUAAGGGCAAGUUGUUAGGUUGAUCUCCUUCCUAAUAGGCCCAACGGCCUAUUAGGCCCUUAAACCGCGCCCUGAUCGGGGGCGUCCAACCCUUAAUGGUUGGUGGGCCCCCGCUGCACAGCGCCAAAAUAAAAGGGGUGAGGGGCCGGCGGCACACGGCACGAGGUUCGCCGUGCCGCCUACACCCUCACCCACAGAAACCCUAAGCCGAUCUACUAGGGGGCGCUGGAGCAGUGGGAAUCCGCCGCCGCUGCAGUCGACUCCGUCUAGCCGUCGCUGCUACCGUCCUCGACACCGUCGCCCCUGCAUCGACCUCACUGCGUCACUCGUCGCCGCCUUUGAGCGGAUCUCCAUCAGCGAACAAGGGAUGGCCGGCUCAAACUCCUCUGGUGGCGCCGAAGAUUCUAUUGGUUGACAAGAAAAUUACUGAUGCUAGUGAAAUUAUAAGGAUACUGGAUAGUGCUGUCAAAGAAAAUUAUCCAUUAUUAAUAGUUGCUGAGGAUGUGGAAGAAACAGCAAUGGCUGAUUUGAUAAAAAACAAGCUGAAAGGGACAAUUAAGGUUGCAGCAGUUAAGGCCUUCUCUUUUGGGGAGCAAAAGACUCAAUGCUUGGAAGAUGUUGCAGUCAUGACGGGAGUCACCAACAAAUUCUUGUUGGUUUUCAGGUACAGUAGUGAGGGAUGACAUGGCAUAUUCAUUGGAAAAGGCAGGAAAAGAGGUUCUGGGUUCUGCUUCUAAGGUGGUUAUCAGGAAAGAUUCAACACUAAUUGUUACUGAUGGAAGCACUCGUCAUGCAGUUGAGAAAAGAGUUGCUAUGAUAAAAGGACAAAUUGAGAACUCAAAGGAAAGGUACAACAAGAAAAUAUUGGGUGAGAGGAUAGCAAGGUUAUGUGGUGGAAUUGCAAUCAUCCAGGUUGGUGCUCAGACAGUCAUUGAGAUGAAAGAUAAGAAGCUGAGAAUUGAAGAUGCUCUUAAUGCAACUAGGGUACCUUGAUUAAUUCAAUCUACACGUGUAUCAUGUGUGGUUCGGUAAAUACAGUUUCGAACAAUUGUUUUUUAUAUAAUUCAGGCAGCUAUUGAGGAAGGUGUUGUAAUUGGUGGUGGAUGUAGCCUACUAAGAUUAUCAAAGAAGAUUGACGCAACCAAGGAAUCAUCAUUGGAUAAUAUAGAGCAAAAGAUUGGUGCUGACAUCUUCAAGCAAGCCUUGAGUUACCCUACCUCACUGAUAGCAAACAAUGCGGGGAUGAAUGGUAAUUUUGUCGUUGAAAAGGUGUUAUUGAAUGACAACACAAAUUAUGGUUACAAUGCUGCCACGAACCGCUAUGAGGACUUGAUGGCUGCUGGAAUACUGGAUCCAUCAAAGGUUGUGAGAUGUUGCAUUGAGCAUGCUGCUGUGGUUGCAAAGUCUUUUCUCACUUCUGAUGUGGUGAUUGUUGAGGCAAAAGAAAGCAAACCAAUUCGAAUAAGGCCCCCAAUGCCACCUAGGAGCUUGAUCCCCCCAAUACCUGCCUCAGUUUCAGGUAUUCGAGUGUAGCAAGCUUCAUUUCCACAGAUUGACCUCAAUAUGACAAAAACUACAUGGACGAAAUUCUUUUGCAAAAAAUGCAUGUAAUAGAGAAGAGAAUGCUGGAAAUUUCAAUUGAUAUUCUUAUCUCCUCCCACACUCUGUGGAUAUGUUUAUCUUCUUUGGGGGAGGCUAGCUAUGUAAAUAGCUCGAGUCGGUUUAGAUUGUUCACAUAAGUUGCAUUGUACGACCAGAGUUGCUACUCAUUUUGUAAAUAUUUCUAGCAAAUUCCUCAAAUACUUAUGUAUAUUUAUAAAAUGAGUAGAAAACUCACAUAAUCUACACAGUUUGGUUGACCA